This 490-nucleotide ribosomal RNA is filed under the name Streptococcus anginosus. RNAcentral's name for it is "partial 16S ribosomal RNA". It matches the Rfam family "Bacterial small subunit ribosomal RNA", at positions 62 to 525 of the family's 1533-position model. Lineage: Bacteria; Bacillati; Bacillota; Bacilli; Lactobacillales; Streptococcaceae. The record is from RNAcentral.
UAGGACGCACAGNUUUAUAUCGUAGCUUGCUACACCAUAGACUGUGAGUUGCGAACGGGUGAGUAACGCGUAGGUAACCUGCCUAUUAGAGGGGGAUAACUAUUGGAAACNAUAGCUAAUACCGCAUAACAGUAUGUAACACAUGUUANAUGCUUGAAAGAUGCAAUUGCAUCNCUAGUANAUGGACCUGCGUUGUAUUANCUAGUAGGUAGGGUAAAGGCCUACCUAGGCAACGAUACAUAGCCNACCUGAGAGGGUGAUCGGCCACNCUGGGACUGANACACGGCCCANACUCCUACGGGAGGCAGCAGUAGGGAAUCUUCNGCAAUGGGGGGAACCCUGACCGANCAACGCCNCGUGAGUGAAGAAGGUUUUCNGAUCNUAAAGCUCUGUUGUUAAGGAAGAACGAGUGUGANAAUGGAAAGUUCAUGCUGUGACGGUACUUAACCAGAAAGGGACGGCUAACUACNUGCCAGCAGCCGCGGUAAUA